GACGAACGCUGGCGGCGUGCUUAACACAUGCAAGUCGAACGGUGAAGCGAGUGAUUGCACUCGUGGAUCAGUGGCGAACGGGUGAGUAACACGUGAGUAACCUGCCCAUCACUCUGGGAUACGCACUGGAAACGGUGUCUAAUACUGGAUACGACCAACCCUUGCAUGGGGUGUUGGUGGAAAGAUUUAUCGGUGAUGGAUGGACUCGCGGCCAAUCAGCUUGUUGGCGGGGUAAUGGCCCACCAAGGCGACGACGGGUAGCCGGCCUGCGAGGGUGACCGGCCCCACUGGGACUGGGGCACGGCCCAGACGCCUACGGGAGCCAGGGGUGGAGAAUAGUCCGCGAUGGGCGAAGGCCGGAUACAGCGACGCCGCGUGGGGGAUCACGGCCUGCGGGUUGUAAACCUCUUUCAACAGGGAAGAAGCGAAAGUGACGGUACCUGCAGAAGAAGCGCCGGCUAACUACGUG
Molecule: ribosomal RNA, 469 nt
Filed under: uncultured bacterium
Lineage: Bacteria
Description: partial 16S ribosomal RNA
Rfam family: Bacterial small subunit ribosomal RNA
Source: RNAcentral